This is a long non-coding RNA of Hydra vulgaris (swiftwater hydra), 303 nucleotides long. RefSeq lists it as uncharacterized. NCBI's taxonomy places the organism in Eukaryota, Metazoa, Cnidaria, Hydrozoa, Anthoathecata, Hydridae. The record is from RefSeq and is a predicted model, not a curated record.
AUGGUAGCCGUUUAGUUAGUUAAAGUGACGUCACGUUCGCCGCAAGAAUAUUCUACAACUACCAUCAACAUAAACUGUGGCUAGAAAUAUAUUUUAAAUAACAUACACUACUUUAAAAAAUUCGGUAGUGUUUGUUUCUUUAAAAGCAUUGCAAUUACCUAGCUGCAAAGUUGGAACAGUGCAACACAUCACCUCAAUCUUUUUAUGUUUACACCCUGCUAGGAGAACUAAGGUACAAAGCAAUGCCUUGUCAAUAAACUAUUUGCUGUGAUUCACAAUUUUUGGAGGAAAUUUUCUGAAAAA